UCUUGGAGCUCUAGUUCACCUCUCUGGUGUUGUUCUUGUAUUCAUCUGAUUAAUCUAGUUCUUGCCAGUUCUUCUUCAACUUCUUGGUAGAUAUCAAGUCUGUAUUCUGUGUCCGUGACAGUUUGUCGAGACUUCACUCACCUCAGAUAUCAGAGCUAAUUUCUUCUUUAAUAGAGUGAGGAUUACCCCUCUGCUUGGAAGUGUACUAGUACUUUAGAGGUUGCGGAUUACCCUCCUCUAAACUGAUACUUCUUUUGUUAUAAUAUUGGAG
Molecule: long non-coding RNA, 271 nt
Filed under: Physcomitrium patens
Lineage: Eukaryota; Viridiplantae; Streptophyta; Bryopsida; Funariales; Funariaceae
Description: long non-coding RNA (PPAT_LNC004355)
Source: RNAcentral